CCCGUUUGGCCUCCUACUUGUCCCUGAAAUUCAGUGGUAGAGUUGAGAUUAAAAGUAAUUGCCAAAAUCUUUGUCCAUGUAUUGAAGUGAGGUUGCCCUUUAACCUACCCCGAACUUCCGAACCUUGGAAGUUUUAGUUUUUCCAUUGGUCAUCUUGAUUCUGCAGGUGUAGAACCAGCCAUAGCAGCCUGAGAAGAGAUCACAAGCAAUUAGUAAAGUUCAACGUGCAAGUAAAUCCCCUCUAGAGGUACCAUUGGCCGAUUUCUAUUUGGGCGGUCGACAGAUACAAGAGAAUGAGGGAGAAAUAGUUAUAGGGCUGUUGUAUUAGAAUGCAUUAGUUUUAGCUGAUGCAUAGUGUGUAGAUCAAGUCAUGAGAAGUUGAGCAACUGGAAGAAAGACAUUUGUAACCACCGGUAGCACAGAGUUAAAUAUUUCCUCAUAAAUUAUCCAACAACCACGGAUCAACAGGUGACUGAAGUCAGACAGAGGAAACAGUAUUCCCAGAUUUCAACAUUUAGUUAAAAUAUAGAAAGCAUACAAAACAAUUAAACCAAUUUCCAUCAGCUGUAGAAAUAACCAAAUGCACCUCUACAAACAAAUUGAGUGCUACUGGUGACUGGGCUGCACCGAGGCAGGAACAUUACAGGUCAUUUAGCAGACGCUUUUAUCCAAAGCGACUUACAUUACCACUUUAAACCCAUGGAUUUUUCACAUUUUUGCCCGGGGAGCAAUUAGGGGUUAGGUGUCAGGUGUUGCUCAGGGACACUUACACAUGGAACAUGGGGCAGCCUGGAAUCGAACCAACAACCUUGUGCUUCCCAGCACACCUUCUCUAACCCCUGCACCACGACGACACGAGGGACAGGGACAGGCUCUGGCACAGGGCACUCACAGACUCAGUUUCUCCACACAAACAAUAUAAAAUAGAGGCAUGCUAUGUAAAAAGAAAAUACAGACAAACACAACGGACAAUGGGAUGAGCAGAUGAAAGGCCCAGCCACCAAACCCACCAUCUGGGAUGCUACCCUGCAGACAACCUCAAACACAAAAAUAAACACAAAUUACUUACCAAAAGUAAUCAUCUGCAAACUAGUAUUACCAACAUGAAGAAACUCCAGACCAGAACUGAACAAGCAACACUAAACAGCAAUGGCUUCUAAUGCCAGCCUGGAGUUACUUUGAGGCUCCUCCACCUGGUAUGGCUCACACAUGAUUUGGGCCUCCCUGACGAGCUGGGAGACACAAACAGAAAGAUCACCAACGGCCAAACAUUUUAAAAAGAACUGAGAAUGAAAACACCUACCAGCUCACUGGCUUCUCCAGCCCAGAAAGGGACAAGCAUGCCAAAAGCAGCUUCAUUAUGGGCAGCUUUAUACCCUUUCUAAUGGGUGAACCAGGAAGUAGGAGGUACCAAGGCCUGCCUGAACCUACAGUAGCUCAGGAAGGACAUUUUCUCACUGGCUACACAUUGAAAAAGAUUAUAUAUUAUUCAAAUCAUUGAGUUAUAAUCUCACCGGCUGAGCUUCUUCCCAACAAAGAUGAACUUGUGUUGCAGUAUCACCAUUUAGAUUAUUUCAUCAAAAUCUGGCUGUGCACCCAGUAAGCCAUGGAUCAAAAUUCCCCUCACCUGUAGUUUAGUCCAUUAUAUGCCACAUUUUUGGCCAAGCUUGCACUGUCAUUAGUUUUGGUCCUUAGACUUUUGUUUUAGAGUAUUUGAGAUAUCCUUGGUAAAAACAUCAAUGUAAAGAGUGAAAACAUUUAUUAUGUCCAAUAGAGGUCUGCUGAAGCCACGUGCGUGUAAAUGAUUUGCAAUCUGAAAUUGAUUAAGGCCGAGAUCCUCCUUGUGGCAGUGGCAAGUGGGUGGCAUCAAACUUGAGAGCCCCACCCCCUACACGGAACCCGCCGGUCCAAACCUAAAAUUAGCCUCUGUAAUAAGAAGACGGGGGCUCACGUGUCUCAAAUAAAAUUAAAUAAAAUUAAAUAAAAUUAAAUAUUUACAGCAGCUGACCUGUCGUACAAAUAACAGUUGUUUCUGGGAAAAAUUGGCUCCUCCCACCCAGCGUGCCGUCGUGACGCCGACUGAUUUACUGGCGAUUGCCGCUGCCUGUCACAAAGUUGCCACCCACUUGCCACUGCCACAAGGAGGAUCUCGCUGUCACUCUUGUUUUGACCG
This is a long non-coding RNA of Gasterosteus aculeatus aculeatus (three-spined stickleback), 2173 nucleotides long. Lineage: Eukaryota; Metazoa; Chordata; Actinopteri; Perciformes; Gasterosteidae. The record is from Ensembl.